This 148-nucleotide unclassified non-coding RNA is filed under the name uncultured Pleosporales. Its description in RNAcentral is "sequence contains ITS2". The record is from RNAcentral. Lineage: Eukaryota; Fungi; Ascomycota; Dothideomycetes; Pleosporales.
UGUACCCUCAAGCAAUGCUUGGUGUUGGGCGUUUGUCCUGCAGAGGACUCGCCUGAAAGCGAUUGGCGGCCAACGUACUGGUGGUAGAGCGCAGCACAAUCUCGCGUCUCUCCCUUCUACGUUUGCGUCCAUGAAGCCUUUUUUCAAC